GCUGGGCAUGGUGGCGCAUGCCUGUAAUCCCAGCUACUUGGAGGCUGAGGCAGGAGAAUCGCUUGAACCCAGGAGGUGAAGGUUGCAGUGAGUGGAGAUUGCGCCACUGCACUCUAGCCUAGGCAACAGAGCAAGACUCUGUCUCAA
This 147-nucleotide signal recognition particle RNA is filed under the name Chlorocebus sabaeus (green monkey). RNAcentral's name for it is "Metazoan signal recognition particle RNA". It matches the Rfam family "Metazoan signal recognition particle RNA". From Rfam's summary of the family: The signal recognition particle (SRP) is a universally conserved ribonucleoprotein. It is involved in the co-translational targeting of proteins to membranes. The record is from Rfam by way of RNAcentral. Lineage: Eukaryota; Metazoa; Chordata; Mammalia; Primates; Cercopithecidae.